This is a long non-coding RNA of Chionomys nivalis (European snow vole), 1300 nucleotides long. RefSeq lists it as uncharacterized. The transcript has 5 exons. Lineage: Eukaryota; Metazoa; Chordata; Mammalia; Rodentia; Cricetidae. The record is from RefSeq and is a predicted model, not a curated record.
GCGGCUCCCCACCCCCGCCCCAGCCUGGGAACCCCGAGCUGUGGGGCCGCCGCCGAGGAGUAGGGGAAGCAGUUCUCUCAGCUGGCGGGCAGUGGACUGUGCUGGGCUCAGAGAAGAAGAGAAAACAACAGGACAGAGAUGCCCUGAGUAAAGGAGGAAGGGAUUCUGGAAUGCUGUGGCAUUGGAUACAAUUGGGGUCCUCAUGGCCAGGGGGACAGAAAUGUCCCAGCUCACGGGCAUAUACUAUGGGUAGGGGGCAACACGGUGGAAAUAGCUUGGGACCGGCGAGAACAAGGUAAGCUGGAUCCGGGUCCAUUUAGCUAGCAUCAAGACAGCGUCCACUUCUUCGGGCGAUCAGGGCCUCGAGGAGACAGCGCUUCCUGCCACUGCUCAGGACUUGGCCUUUUAUAGGGAAAGACUUGCUUGGGAGUCUUCCAAGAGCUUUUAAAUGAGUCUGGACCUGGGAGUUCCAGUGACGAUUCUUGGAUGUGGCUUCAUAGUCUUUGGUUUUAAAAGGCCAGGAAGAUUCGCAGACUUUAAGAGGCCGCACGCCCUUCACGCUGCCGGGAGUCUGGGCGGCGGUGAGCGCUCUGGAGCGGCUGCGUGAAUCUCUUCUCAGGCGAUCCCAGAUAAGAGAAAAUGAGAAAGAGGUUUCUGACUUCCAACUCAUUAGGGACCAGAUGUAAACCAACUACAGAACAUCCAUCACCAAAGACUUUGCCAUCCUGAAGAAGGAUCUUCUUCUGAACUGAUGAUGGACUUUAACUCACAAACACAAUUCCUCCUUAGGUGAUAGAUUUGGAAACUGAUUGGCAUGGCCUUGUGGACCAGAAAAGAAUUAAAAAACUAGUGUUAAUUGUUAAUCACAAUCUCACCUAGGACUCUUUGUAGGAAGCUGGCCCAGUGACCAUUGAACUGUGUUCCGAACCUCCAUCCUUAAGGCUGUUUCAGCUUAAGUCAUCGGAGAAAGACUUCCCUUCCAGCUCGGCAAGAGGGUGCAACUGUGACCCUUAGCAAAGCCCCCUUCAAACCACCAGCCUCAGGACAAAUACGUUAGUUUGGAUAAUCAUUUCACGAACAAUAAUCAAAAGGACAGACUGGAGUUAGCUGCUUCCCCAGGCAGCAGUUUCUCUCAGCAUCAGCCCGAAGUCUGCUCUGUUGCCCACACUGGUUUGUAGAAAUUGGGGUAAUUGUGAUCUAAAAUGUGCAUUACAAAACCUCUGCUUAUCUCCAAAAAUCAGCAUUUCUUAAAGCAAACAAUUUAAGUAGAAAAGUCAUUUGAUAAAAAUAAUUGGUUCGG